RNAcentral lists this ribosomal RNA (254 nucleotides) under uncultured bacterium. Its description in RNAcentral is "partial 16S ribosomal RNA". It matches the Rfam family "Bacterial small subunit ribosomal RNA", at positions 524 to 776 of the family's 1533-position model. The record is from RNAcentral.
UACGUAGGGUGCAAGCGUUAAUCGGAAUUACUGGGCGUAAAGCGUGCGCAGGCGGUUCUAUAAGACAGAUGUGAAAUCCCCGGGCUCAACCUGGGAACUGCAUUUGUGACUGUAGAGCUGGAGUACGGCAGGAGGGGGAUGGAAUUCCGCGUGUAGCAGUGAAAUGCGUAGAUAUGCGGAGGAACACCGAUGGCGAAGGCAAUCCCCUGGGCCUGUACUGACGCUCAUGCACGAAAGCGUGGGGAGCAAACAGG